UAGCGCCUCGUGAACUCAUCUCCGGGGGUAGAGCACUGUUUCGGCUAGGGGGCCAUCCCGGCUUACCAACCCGAUGCAAACUGCGAAUACCGGAGAAUGUUAUCACGGGAGACACACGGCGGGUGCUAACGUCCGUCGUGAAGAGGGAAACAACCCAGACCGCCAGCUAAGGUCCCAAAGUCAUGGUUAAGUGGGAAACGAUGUGGGAAGGCCCAGACAGCCAGGAUGUUGGCUUAGAAGCAGCCAUCAUUUAAAGAAAGCGUAAUAGCUCACUGGUCGAGUCGGCCUGCGCGGAAGAUGUAACGGGGCUAAACCAUGCACCGAAGCUGCGGCAGCGACACUUUAGUGUUGUUGGGUAGGGGAGCGUUCUGUAAGCCGUUGAAGGUGUCCUGUGAGGGGUGCUGGAGGUAUCAGAAGUGCGAAUGCUGACAUAAGUAACGAUAAAGCGGGUGAAAAGCCCGCUCGCCGGAAGACCAAGGGUUCCUGUCCAACGUUAAUCGGGGCAGGGUGAGUCGACCCCUAAGGCGAGGCCGAAAGGCGUAGUCGAUGGGAAACGGGUUAAUAUUCCCGUACUUGGUGUUACUGCGAAGGGGGGACGGAGAAGGCUAUGUUGGCCGGGCGACGGUUGUCCCGGUUUAAGCGUGUAGGUGUGUGUUCCAGGUAAAUCCGGUUCACUUUAACACUGAGGCGUGAUGACGAGGCACCACGGUGCUGAAGCAACAAAUGCCCUGCUUCCAGGAAAAGCCUCUAAGCAUCAGGUAACAUCAAAUCGUACCCCAAACCGACACAGGUGGUCAGGUAGAGAAUACCAAGGCGCUUGAGAGAACUCGGGUGAAGGAACUAGGCAAAAUGGUGCCGUAACUUCGGGAGAAGGCACGCUGACACGUAGGUGAAGUGAUUUACUCAUGGAGCUGAAGUCAGUCGAAGAUACCAGCUGGCUGCAACUGUUUAUUAAAAACACAGCACUGUGCAAACACGAAAGUGGACGUAUACGGUGUGACGCCUGCCCGGUGCCGGAAGGUUAAUUGAUGGGGUCAGCGCAAGCGAAGCUCCUGAUCGAAGCCCCGGUAAACGGCGGCCGUAACUAUAACGGUCCUAAGGUAGCGAAAUUCCUUGUCGGGUAAGUUCCGACCUGCACGAAUGGCGUAAUGAUGGCCAGGCUGUCUCCACCCGAGACUCAGUGAAAUUGAACUCGCUGUGAAGAUGCAGUGUACCCGCGGCAAGACGGAAAGACCCCGUGAACCUUUACUAUAGCUUGACACUGAACAUUGAGCCUUGAUGUGUAGGAUAGGUGGGAGGCUUUGAAGCGUGGACGCCAGUCUGCGUGGAGCCGACCUUGAAAUACCACCCUUUAAUGUUUGAUGUUCUAACGUGGACCCGUAAUCCGGGUUGCGGACAGUGUCUGGUGGGUAGUUUGACUGGGGCGGUCUCCUCCUAAAGAGUAACGGAGGAGCACGAAGGUUGGCUAAUCCUGGUCGGACAUCAGGAGGUUAGUGCAAUGGCAUAAGCCAGCUUGACUGCGAGCGUGACGGCGCGAGCAGGUGCGAAAGCAGGUCAUAGUGAUCCGGUGGUUCUGAAUGGAAGGGCCAUCGCUCAACGGAUAAAAGGUACUCCGGGGAUAACAGGCUGAUACCGCCCAAGAGUUCAUAUCGACGGCGGUGUUUGGCACCUCGAUGUCGGCUCAUCACAUCCUGGGGCUGAAGUAGGUCCCAAGGGUAUGGCUGUUCGCCAUUUAAAGUGGUACGCGAGCUGGGUUUAGAACGUCGUG
RNAcentral lists this ribosomal RNA (1768 nucleotides) under Salmonella enterica. Its description in RNAcentral is "partial 23S ribosomal RNA". It matches the Rfam family "Bacterial large subunit ribosomal RNA", at positions 875 to 2623 of the family's 2925-position model. Lineage: Bacteria; Pseudomonadati; Pseudomonadota; Gammaproteobacteria; Enterobacterales; Enterobacteriaceae. The record is from RNAcentral.